This 90-nucleotide transfer RNA is filed under the name Alphaproteobacteria bacterium. Its description in RNAcentral is "tRNA-Ser". It matches the Rfam family "tRNA". From Rfam's summary of the family: Transfer RNA (tRNA) molecules are approximately 80 nucleotides in length. Their secondary structure includes four short double-helical elements and three loops (D, anti-codon, and T loops). RNAcentral also lists the same sequence under 1 other name. Lineage: Bacteria; Pseudomonadati; Pseudomonadota; Alphaproteobacteria. The record is from RNAcentral.
GGAGGGGUGGCCGAGUGGUUUAAGGCGCACGCCUGGAAAGUGUGUAUACGGGAAACCGUAUCGCGGGUUCGAAUCCCGCCUCCUCCGCCA